AUGGCUUCUUGGCCAAGACCAGAUUGAAUUGUUGCCAGAUGAUAUGAAGUAAACCAGGUCCAUCACACAAGGGGCACCUUCUUGUUCUAAGUUGAUGUCGUUCCGUCACAUGAGGCCGGUGCCACGUAUCAGAGGUCUACGGUGACUUUGUUUCGUGAUAUGAUUCAUCGUGAAAGCAAAUGCCAUGUUGAUGACAUGAUGGCAAAGUCCCAAGCAGAACAGGGGCAUCCGGUAGACUUGGGGCAAGUUGUUUGACCGUUUGAGAUAACUCAUACUUUUGAGUCUGAAUCAGUGCACUUAUGGAGUGUUGUCCAUCAAGCUACCGAGGCUUGUUGUGAGCGAAUCAGAGGAAUCGAGGUCGAUCCUGCUAAAAAAAAAAAAAAAAAAAAAAAAAAAAAGAGGGUAAGUUGUAGGAACCUCUGAUUCCGAUACCUCAGUGAAAGAAAUAACUGUUAAUCCGGUACUUGAUAACCCUCGAGGGGUCUACGAGGUGCGUAUUGAGUCAG
RNAcentral lists this long non-coding RNA (506 nucleotides) under Lathyrus oleraceus (garden pea). RNAcentral's name for it is "Pisum sativum (pea) long non-coding RNA (PSAT_LNC011800)". Lineage: Eukaryota; Viridiplantae; Streptophyta; Magnoliopsida; Fabales; Fabaceae. The record is from RNAcentral.